CCAGCCGGGUUGGGAGUGUGGCUCCCGGGAUUUUCACAGCAGGGAAAAGUUCCCCAGAGUUGCAUGCAGGUGCUGUUUUCGGGCARGACCUGCCCUUAUACCCGCAACUGGUGUCUGGGGCUGCAGUUCCCAGCUUGGGAAUGCAUCGUGUGCGUGUGGCUGGGGGAGAACGGCGGGGAAAUGAGGACAACAGAAAUAGUCCGGCUUGGCAGGUGGUGGGGCUUGAUAAAAUAGAGACCGGUUUGUGGGCAGCUGUACAAAGUGCUGAGUUAUUCUUGGGUUCCUUGUGUGCACGCUGAGCUUUCGAUACUUUACUGAAUAUGUUUUCCUCCUCUUAAGACAGUGUAAAAUAGCACUGGUGAGGACACCCCCAGAGCUGGGAGUGCUGAGUAAGGAGCUGGUAUGCCGAACUUAAUAGAAUAGGCAAAAUCUGUAGUAGUUAAACUUGUCUGGCUUUGCUGCAAACUGUCUGCAGAGCUCUUCAUUUGUAUAAGAAAGCAAAAAACCUGGCAGGCAGCGUUAGGAGUCCGAGGCGCUGCGAGUUAAUGAGCUCUCCUGCGGGAGCCUGAUGGCACGCUCAUUUCGGACUGGCUUGUCCUUUMAGGGAAAAAACUGCAGAGCAGUGGGCAGCCGAAGGCAAUCGGCCGCCGUGUUUUGGUUUGUUGCUUGUUUGGAUGUCGGGAGCGUUGGUGUCCCGGGAACCGUGGUGGGCGCUGCCCUGCCAGCUCUCCCUGCUGCAAACAGCUCCUAGGGCUCUGAUUCCUUAAUCUUGUAGGUGAUGCAUAUUUAAAAAAAAUAAUAAGAAUCUAUAAAAAAGGUUUUUUGUGACGAGAAGGAAGAGAACAAUAGCGUUAUUCAGUAUUUAAUUAUCAGCAGAGAUAUAAGRCUCUGGCUUACUGCAUGGAUUUCUCUCGAAUUGCUUUCUAGGGCACUCACUGACUGGAGGUUGCUCUUAAGGGGUUACAGUUGUCACGGGGGGAAUGUGAAACUUGUAAAAAGCUUGUUUGACAGAUGUUGUUGCAAAUKACUCAAAACUACUCCAGGUAUAUCGAGUGGUUUGCAGGUAAAUGUCAGUGCCAUCACAGUGAGAUUGGAGGAGUCGAUUGCAGCAACUUCAGCACCUGCUGUGGGCUUUAGAGAGAUCUCCAAAAGYUGCAGGCAGGCUCUYGGUGUUCAGGUGUGCAGCACUUUAYUGGCUGUUUCCMGGUGCACUGCCUCUUGAUUUCCAGGCUGUAACAUGUAGAGGACCCCUGUGAAUGAGAAGAUACUGUGACUUUUAUUUUUAUUUUUUCCUUAGGAACUAAUAGGUAAAUAGGUUUAUGAAUGGCACUAGAUUAUCUGUAAAUGAAAAGUUGUUGCUGAAAACUGUAAUAGUCUGUCAGAYAAAUUCUUCCUAUCCAAAAUCCCACUACCAUGGGAUGACAAUAAGGAAUAGGUAGCACCCAUUUUCAUUGUAAAUGCAGGUUGAACUAUUUUUUGUAUUAACCAACUGGUAAUUGCMCUUGCCACAUAGUUUCCUUUACUUUUCAGCCCUUGGUUUGCAUUCCUCAGCGACGCUUCCCAGUUAUUAAACACAAUUUUUUGUUAUUUAAGUGUAUUGCAGAGCUAAUGUAGCUAAACACACACAGCAGACAGUUUGUCACACACCUAUGCUAUUGUCUGUCCUUCCACUCACCUCGGCCCUGCUGCUCUGUGCCUGUUCCAGCAGUGGGACAGGCAGGAAAAAGAGAUGUGGAGUCCCCAUCUGGAUGGUGAAAGUGGCUGAGGACAACAACAGGUUAACACUGGGACAGUUGUAUCUUUUUUUCCUACAAAAAAAAGAUGUUUUUUGGUGUGACACACCUAAGGCUGUGUGUGGGGUAUGUAAAGGAUUGGACACUUGUGCYGACUUAAAUGCUUGGGAAAAGAUUUAUAGUCUGAAGGCACAAAGUAGCCUUUCAAAUAUGUGAACAAGAAGCAGAAAACUUGAAGAGCUCAAAACUAGAUUCCUUGCAUUCAUUCACUUAGUUUAUAAAACAAAGAAUAACUUCAAGYUGGUUUUUAGUAUGUUGUACUAACUGCAGAGUGAACUCUGAUCCUGUUAGUGGAAACAUCCCACUGACUCCAGCGGGUCUCUAUUCCCCCCACCGCCUUCCAGUUUCUUAAAGAAAUAAAGUCAAUUUUCCAAAUGCUGCUCCUCAUUUGCAAACAGGUGCAUUUGGUGUGUACAUGUUCURGUGAGCAAUUGCACAUUUCAAAUGAAUUUGGCAAAGCCAGGAAAGUAAUCUUGUCUAAAAUCUGCAGUUUCACAGCUUUUGUGCUCAGCGUCUCUCAUCCUGUGCCCUUCCUGACUCACAGGAAUGCCAGCUGCUYCUCUGCUCCUGUCAGAAUCAUGGGCUUCUGAACUUUGCCAUGUUGCAGCAAGGCUGUGCAAGAAAGACAAAGCCYGUAAGGGAGAAUGUAAAGUGCUUUUAAUUUUCUAGCACUUGUGCAACUCAUGUUUUGGUGGCUCUGUGUAUUUUCUGAUUGAGUUUGGAUGGUAUUAUUUUAACUAGAGGAACACCCGUGGCAUUAAUACUGGGGGGAAUUUAAUCACYCAAAUUAAAUCCCUACAGCAAAGCCAUGCCUCCUGCAUGUGGUGCAGGUCGCCCUGCAAUUCCCCACCGUCGCUUUGCAGUGGAGAGGGGAGAGCCAAAAAAAAAGACAAAUCCAAAAACAUAACUAAAAUAAGGCGCUGUGUGAGAGCCCUCGGAGGGAGCUGAGGACAAGGGAGCUGUCGGAGGGCAAGCACYGGGGAGCUGAGACGUGCUCGGACAGGCUGUGUCCACCCAGCCGGGUGAGUCAGGCCGGCCCCGCCGCCUCCGGAGCGUCUGUUUGAAGUUGUGCACACAGGACUCAGCAGACAGGCUGCAGCSCUGCUCAUCCCUUGUGAUACCAUCUUAAAGGCAGGAAUGAAUACAUCCCAGCAGCCUGCCUUUUAUCUCUCGGGAGGCACUGCGUGGAGCCCUGCAGGCUGGGUAGUAUUUCUCUCGGGAGCUGCCUGUCAUUUAGGUUCUCCUUGAAGGUUUGGGGUUCUGUGGGGUGCMGCCAGGGUAGGAGAUGAAGGAUCUCAGGACCGCACCAUAAAUUUUGUCUUCACCAUUGUGAGCCACUCCUGUGGAUGCACAGGAGGAACAGAAAGAAAGGGAAAAAAUGUUCAGGGAAUUCCCAUUUCCAGUCUUGGCACUCACAUUAAAUGCAAUGCGUCACAUUAAAAAACAUGGGCUUACACCCAUGCAUACUUAAAGUUCCUUUUUUUCAGUCUUGACAGUGCGUUGCAAGGUAAUAGCAUUUCAAAGUCUACUUGUCUCAGAGGUGUYCCUUGUUUCUCCUCCUUGGCCCUGUGCCUGGCAUGAGUUUCCCUCACUGUACCCCUUUGGAAAGCACACAGUGGUCUAAUCUCUGCUCCGUCAGGUACACUGUACCUUGGCACACGGGCAUCCUGGGAUGUUAAACYAGCAAAGCAUGUGGAUGCUCUUACAGCAGCAAAAUUACGUUCUGUAGYUGUUCAUCACAGGAAAGUUAUCACCCCUCCCUACCCCAGAGCAAAACAAGUUAUGCUAGUAAAGCUUCUUUAGCACACCUAUGUGGGUCAGGUAUCACAUCUCUCCGCCGCUCUUUUCCACAUAUUUAUGCAGGCAGGAGCCUAGAGCACAGACCUGCCUCURGAGCAGAUUUUGCUUGCAGCAGCRUGGUGAUUAUAGAGUUGGGCAGGCCAGCAUUUCCAGAUGCAACAACAUAUUUCACUUCCACAUAUGAAACAGCAGUAUUAWAACACCCGAUGCACCCUUGAAUGACCCAUUUGCCUAUACUCUCUCCUCCAUCAAGAGGGUAGAGACAGAGACAAGUUGGUUCCUYUUGUCACCCUGAUAACAGCACCAGCCAGGAAUUUUAGAGAGGGGAGAAAUUUCCUUCUGAGAGCCAACACUUUUUUUGUACUGUUAAAGAAAAUCAAUAGUACAGGAAACUUACUCCUUUCAGSAAUUUUUUUKUGUGUGUUGGCCUCUGCAAAAGUUGACAGAUUUCUUUUGCAUUCUGGACCAAGCAGUGUGAGRUUGUUCUUGCCUGUGCUUUAGGUAGCAGUUGGCAGCACCCGGACCUUACCUGCUGGAGCAGUUAAAAAUGUCACUGCUCCAAAUCAUUUGCAGGUCAGCAGUUAAAAAUCUAUUUUGAAUAGGAUUAAGAAGACAGAAACACUUCCAGAGGUGGCAAUGCUAAGUACUUCAGGCAGCACUCUAUGAAAACCUCUGUGGGUUUAGGAGAUCUUGGUUGCCUUUCUAUAUUCACUGYCAAGCAUCAUGAAAUACUUUCUGUCAAUCCCUGUACGAGCUGCUGCACAGUUGCACUGACAGUCUAGYGAUCAYGUCAUGGCUGAAAGCAGCAUUUCUGUUUGCCAGGCUGUAUUUUAAAAUGUAAACAUAUUUAUUUCAAAACCACGUUUAUUUCUCAAUUGGCAGACUCCUUAUUUUCCUGUUGCAGAGCUYGUUCAUUUGCAUUUGUGUUUGCAAGUGUUCCAACACAGCCUGGUUAAAGACAUUUGAUGCUAACUAGUCCUUAGUCCUACCCCAGAACUACAGGUGGGAGAUAGCUAAUUUAAAAAUUCUAAUAACAUAAAAGUCUCUGUAAUUCACUCAAAACUAAAAGUAAAAUUUUCUGCCAUAGUUUUAUUCAAAGCUCACUGAAUUGAAUAGAGAAGAGCUUGUCUAYAGUACUUCUAUACUAAGUUUUCAUCUUUUUUCCCCCUCUAUUUCUAUAGCAGGGAGAUGGUUAUCAGAUCCUGAGAAAAGCUAGAAACUAGGCUGUGAAAUUUUUUGUAAGUUUCCUAGAUUUCUGGGCACCUCAAAAUCAAAUCAGUAUUUUGAAAAUAUCUUUUGAGUGUGAGGUACAUUUUGAUACUUCUUCCUUUCUGUCAGAGGCACUUUAAUAACAAAAGGCUGAUUGUUGGGGGCACAAGGCUGUGUGAAAAGGGCUGACAACUGCUUAUGCUCAAUAAUUUCAUCUGAUAAAACCAUGCAAGAGGGAGUAAUGGCACGAGGAGUUCAGUAAAAGAAUGUGCAGCUGGUUUUUCUGGCUUUCCAAAAUCAGAGUGUGUGCCUGUAAUUGGUGCCAGGCAGUUGCUGCCUCCUGAUUUCCCUCAGUAUUGUGGACUCAGGAGCUGAUUCUGCCUUUUUCUUUCAACACCUUUAACCAGUCGGGUGCUGUGGAUGUGGCUGUGAGGCCAUGGGGCUCUGAUUCUGGGGCAUGGCUGUUGCUGGACAUGAGGUGGACACAGUCUCUCUCCAGGAGCUGCAGUGCAGCUACCAAACUUUGGAUUAUCCAAGGAAUGCACUGUUCAAAUUGCUGAAAACAAGGAAUUAGGAGUUUCCACCUUGCACAAAUCUGGAGCGAAAACCUGCGCCAAUGUUCUCAGUGUUUUGCCCAAGGACAGUGUUUAUUCCAUUCAUGCAGCAUGAUCCUGUUUUUAAUGAGCAGGCAGAGUCUUUGGCAGGUAAAUGGCACGGUCAUGGACAGUAUUAGCUACUGUGAAAUUGAAAUCUGUGCUUGUGUGUCCAAUGCAAACAGCAGGGCACACAUGGAGUCUAAUAUUCCCAGAGAAACCAGAGCUGACAUUUAACUGCCCCUGGGAAAAGAGGAGGAAAUUAAUACGGUGGGUAUGGGAGACAGAGGCUUGACACAGCAAGAAGAAACAAGAGGCAGAGAAGAGGUGGAUGACUGGAUGGGCACCUGCCUCAGUCAGUGCACACGAUGGGCAGAGUAAGCUCUAAGAAGGUAGAAGUGGUUCCUSGUUCAACAAACACCUUAUUGUUGCUCAGCCUCAGUGUUGCUUAGGAUGCUGYCUGUGGAACUCGUCACGAUCACAUCUUGAGUGUUUCACACUGUUUAUUUGUUUUUUGCCCCUCAGAUGUGUAUAAUUCUCACAGAAAGAAGGUGAUAAAUCAGCAAAAGCCAAAUGCUAUGUGUCUGUUGUGGCGUCUUCCACUGGCAAUGCCAAGGAGCUGUUUUUCUCAGAGAGCUUAGUGUUAYACAUUUCUUGGACUGUUCAGAGCAGAUUUCCAUUACAGUGGAAGGUUUGUCUCCCCUGCCUCCUGCACUUCAAGCACUAACACAGGAAGCCCUGYGUGUCUACAACACAUCCCUCACUUGUGCCAAUUCUUUUAGCACGACUUUUAUUGGAGCCAAGGUGGACCAAGUGGGCUCCUGAGGCUGAUGACAGCCCUGCUCUCUAAAAACAAGCCAAUGAGCCAUCAGUUCCAUACAUUCCCCAUUCCCCUGAGCUUCUUUCUACAGUGCUGCCUGGCUGCCAUGGAUGAGAUGUGAGGUUGUUCCCAAACCUGCUUCUCUCAUCCUCUUAAAUAUGUAACUCGGCUGCCAAGUCAUAGAUGURUACUUGGCAGCCGGCAAUAGCAACUGGAAACACAACAUACACAAUGCAAUUGUAUAAAAAAAUGGAAAGAGAUGGCUGGAGAGAGCAGAGCCAGAGGGGAAUUUUCAGGCUGUUUGAGAUCCUUGCUUACCUAUCCAUGGAUUGAUUGUGUUUGCUCUAAAGAGUACUUACAAGAGAAAAGAUGCAGUGUUUGGAAGGCUUUGGAAAUAAGGGAAGUUAGGGACAGGUUGUUUAUGGAAAUCUUCUUUCCCCACAUUUCAUUGUCCAUUUGUUCUUCCACAUGCUCAUGAACACCUGUGUUACUUUCAAGAGUAUUUUUCCUAGUUAGAAACUAUUGCAAAAAUGACUGAUGCCAUUUUUUAAGAGGUGGAAACACAGGAAAUAUUCCUUUUGUCUUACUGACCUGACCUGUCUAAAAGUCUUAGAUCAGGUAUUUUCAUCCUUUCAAAGUAUUGCAGCAACAUUUUCUUAGGUUGUAGCUGACCUGGUCUGCAAGGUGUGAUCCUUCCCUUGUCCCCUUUUAUUUAUCUCCACUGGCCCCUGUCUGACUUCACCAUGAACUGAUGUAAAUUGCUAACUCAAUAGAAAGAGUCUCAUUUAUUUUUGCUGGAUGACUACUUUUGACAGUUUAGGGAGCCGCCUUGCUGUGGGGUCAGAGAAGAUAAAGAAUCAACACAAAGGUGAAUGAUGGGAAAACUUUGAUGAUCAAGAAUGCUUCUUCCAUUAACAAUUGGCUGUUAGGCUGGUUUAGCUGUAAGGUGAAACCUCACCCUUGAUGGAGACUUGACUUCUAUUGGCAAAAAGUGCUUUUGUUUGCACAACUUAUCCCUAUUUUGGGUGUGAUAUAAGCAGCACCAAUCAUACUGACCCACCGGGAAGAAUGUGUGAGAUUCUCUGCUUGAAAAACCAAAUGCUACAAAAUAUCCCAAAGAUUCCAAACCUCAAAUUCAUGCCCUAAAGUGAUCUGUCUUAGUAUAUGAGAAUUAUUCCCAGGUGUAGCUUCCAAAUCUUGAGCUGAUUGAUCGCAUAAGGACCUAGGUCAUGCUACRCACUUGUGACCCGGCAGAUACAUUUUUAAAUCUUGUGAAGCCCAAAGCAAAAGCGAGUUUAACAUUGAGAGAGCUGUCACUGCCCAGAACAAAAGGACCAGGACCACCUGCCCUCACUGCUGCCGGAUCUGGGAAAAUCAGGAAAACCUCUGCAGCUCCUGACUGUCAAUGUCACAGUAAGCAUGACUGUGAAGAUGUUACUGCAUGGAAAAAUGUUUGUAUUAGAAUUUCCCUGUUUGGACUAAAAUGUUACCCAGGAAAGCUUCCUAGCAGAGCUGGGAAGGAGCAGAGYACAUUGGCCAUGUGUCCCAGUGCCCAGAGCAGGCUGCAGUGGAGUUUGUGUGCUGGGAUCUGCCGUUCCUGGGGUCAGCAGAUGGUCACCAGGAUACGGCCGUAAGCAGUGUCACCUUAUCACCAUCACUCCUGACAGUGUCCUGGCAGCUCUGUGCCAUCUGUGCUCCUCCCCACCUUUCCCUGCUCCAUCCUGUUGCUGCCGUUCCCGUUUCCCUCUGCAGCAGAUCCCAUGGGAGGGCAGAGAUCUGUCCUGCUGCCCCAGCACAGUGGCUGGGGACAGCCAUUCGCCAUUUACAUUAGUGAGAAGCAGCUGAGAUGUAUUUUGAAGACACAGGAGUGGAAUUUUUUGCUUCCUGUGAUGUGCUGGUAGGUCUUGCUAUGCUGGAUUACCACCUUUCCUAUUUUUCUUUCAUGGUUCAUAAUCCCUUGUGUGUAACAUAAAGGUGYGUGGGCCUUUUCAUCCAAGUGUGGUAAAACACGAUUCGAAAGCUGAAACUGAAGACUAGAAAAGGCAAGUUGAAAGAACCACUUUUUGUCAAAGGAUUAGAGCCAUAAUUUCCUCAURUUCAUCUCUGUGGUCUCACCACUGCAUGGGCUGUGGGCUGCUGACUUGAAAUUAUUCUGUUGUCCCAUAUCCAGCCUCUACUACUAAAUUAGAUUGAGUAAGAAUUUGUGAGAGCUUUGUGGCUGCCUGGCUGAUUGGUACGUGCCAAAAAGUCACAGGAAAGCUUAAAGUUUCACUCGGUUUAAAUUUGUAAGCASAGGGAUUUCAGCAAUAAGAGUCACUUUGCUUUAAAGGUGACCUACAAAUAAUAGUUAAGGGUUUGGAAGACUCUCUUGUUAAUUAAGAAAGGAGUAAUAGACCUCAUUUAUUUCCAGGGGAUGUUUUUGUUUGGAAUUCUUAAAAAUGUAUAGAUGCUCUAAAAUGCUGUUACUAGUACAUUUGUCCAGCAUCCCCUGAACAUUCUAUCUGGUGUUUAUUUAGAGUUCUCAGAAUAUAAGGAGCAUGGAUAAUAUAUUCCAUCUUUAAGCAAAGGUUUCCUUUCUCCUGAUCCUUAAAUUCUCCURUUACAUAAAUAUUAUUAAAAACGCCAAAAGCAUUGUGUUGUUUAAUGCCUGGUUUCAUUUGAUUUCUCAGCCUUUACUGAUUCACUGGCAAUCAAAGAACUGAUGUUCUUUAGCAAACUUCCCAUUAGUUAUUCAUAACCUGAAAGACAAAAAAGGAUAAAUGCACAUUUUUCUUUCAUUUUUAUUUCUUACACUGGCAACCUUUGAGAACUUGUGUUCAAAUAAUUCACACACAAACAACAUCUGGGGGAAAAGCAGACUGAAGAAUGAUAGAAAGUGCCCCAUAUGCACAGAAUUUGAAUUAUAAUUACUUUGCUGGGCUGAGAAUAUGAGCAUGGAUUUAUGACAUGUACUUUAUACAUUGUUCCCUUGCAGGAGAUAAAACUGACUKGAGGUGUGUGGUACUGGAAAGCUGAUACUAACACCGUUGAAUAUUCAAGAUCUGCAAACUUCACAGUGACCAUUCCACCUUCUACUUAGGAAUGAGAAAUUAGAUGAGUUCCUCACAGCCCUGCUCUUCCACCUACCUUUUCACCUGGGAAAGAUUGCCCUGGAAUGACCUGGAAAAGGAAUGCAGAUCCUUGAUUUUCCCAAACCUUUUCCCCUYGGAACCCUGAGCCUGGGGAGUUUCAGUCCCUUGGUGCCUCUUGGACUCCAGGCUGUUCCCACCACAGCCCGAGAUCCCUCUGGGAAUUCUGCUCUGUAGAUUUGCUCUCAUCAUUGGCCUCACAGUUUCAUCUCUGUAGGGCGGGCUUCACUGGAGCUCAUUUUAGUGAGUUAAAAUCCUGGAUGAGCACACCCGAAGRGACAACGGAGGAGAGAAGGAAGAAGAAGAACAAGAAUGAAUAAGGAGUGGUUUCUCUAUCAUGACCUCAGUUUUCCACCCAAAGGAAGGCUGAGCAGUUGGAGCUCUGUGCUCUGAAGAGCAAUGGCAGAAGGUGACUGCAGUCAGAGCAACUCACAGCAGCAGAGUCCGUGUUGAGUGGUUUCACUUUGCUCAGUAAAUCACUUUGAARUUGCAGCUUAGGAUGCCCAACUGCUUUGUCAGAGCUGGGGGAGUUUGACACACAAGGGACUGGGCUGGGUGACCGGAGACCUGGGCUGUAAUUCAUGGUCCUUCAUCUUAAUGCCUUUGCUGGGCCGUUUCUGAGAAGAUUAUUUUCCUGGCUGAUUUUGAGAAGUGCUUGGACGCCUGCAGAUGAAUGUGAUUAAUGAUUUCAAUGUCAAUCYUGUUUUUGUAAAGAGCAAAACAACCAGAAGACAUGAUUUUCUACAGCCAAAAAAUUGGUGACAUUUUCCUUUUGAAGGAAGCUACUCUGGAUUUUCUAAUAAAUUGUGUGUGCUUUUUUUUUUUUUAUUUUUAUUUCCAUAAUCUCCU
Molecule: long non-coding RNA, 10192 nt
Organism: Malurus melanocephalus (red-backed fairy wren)
Lineage: Eukaryota; Metazoa; Chordata; Aves; Passeriformes; Maluridae
Exons: 5
Source: RefSeq, a predicted model, not a curated record